RNAcentral lists this ribosomal RNA (452 nucleotides) under uncultured bacterium. RNAcentral's name for it is "bacterial SSU rRNA". It matches the Rfam family "Bacterial small subunit ribosomal RNA", at positions 29 to 524 of the family's 1533-position model. The record is from RNAcentral.
AACGAACGCUGGCGGCAGGCUUAACACAUGCAAGUCGAACGCGUGUAGCAAUACACGAGUGGCGCACGGGUGAGUAACGCGUGGAUAUCUGCCUUUUGGUUCGGAAUAACUCCGGGAAACUGGAGCUAAUACCGGAUGGUUCCUACGGGAUAAAGAUUUAUCGCCAAAAGAUGAGUCCGCGUACGAUUAGCUAGUUGGUGAGGUAAUGGCUCACCAAGGCGACGAUCGUUAGCUGGUCUGAGAGGACGAUCAGCCACACUGGGACUGAGACACGGCCCAGACUCCUACGGGAGGCAGCAGUGGGGAAUAUUGGACAAUGGGGGCAACCCUGAUCCAGCCAUGCCGCGUGAGUGAUGAAGGCCUUCGGUUGUAAAGCUCUUUGGUCGGGGACGGAUGAUGACGGUACCCGCAGAAUAAGCCCCGGCUAACUUCGUGCCAGCAGCCGCGGUAAU